RNAcentral lists this ribosomal RNA (464 nucleotides) under Vreelandella stevensii. RNAcentral's name for it is "partial 16S ribosomal RNA". It matches the Rfam family "Bacterial small subunit ribosomal RNA", at positions 338 to 795 of the family's 1533-position model. The record is from RNAcentral. Lineage: Bacteria; Pseudomonadati; Pseudomonadota; Gammaproteobacteria; Oceanospirillales; Halomonadaceae.
CCUACGGGUGGCAGCAGUGGGGAAUAUUGGACAAUGGGGGGAACCCUGAUCCAGCCAUGCCGCGUGUGUGAAGAAGGCCCUCGGGUUGUAAAGCACUUUCAGUGAGGAAGAACGCCUGGUGGUUAAUACCCAUCAGGAAAGACAUCACUCACAGAAGAAGCACCGGCUAACUCCGUGCCAGCAGCCGCGGUAAUACGGAGGGUGCGAGCGUUAAUCGGAAUUACUGGGCGUAAAGCGCGCGUAGGUGGCUUGAUAAGCCGGUUGUGAAAGCCCCGGGCUCAACCUGGGAACGGCAUCCGGAACUGUCAAGCUAGAGUGCAGGAGAGGAAGGUAGAAUUCCCGGUGUAGCGGUGAAAUGCGUAGAGAUCGGGAGGAAUACCAGUGGCGAAGGCGGCCUUCUGGACUGACACUGACACUGAGGUGCGAAAGCGUGGGUAGCAAACAGGAUUAGAUCCCUAGUAGUC